RNAcentral lists this transfer RNA (72 nucleotides) under Phrynosoma platyrhinos (Desert horned lizard). RNAcentral describes it as "tRNA-OTHER". Lineage: Eukaryota; Metazoa; Chordata; Lepidosauria; Squamata; Phrynosomatidae. The record is from RNAcentral.
GCCAACGUGGCAUAGUGGUUUGGGCAUUGGACUAAGACUCUGGAGACCAGGGUUUGAUUCCCUGCUCAGCCA